Molecule: ribosomal RNA, 522 nt
Filed under: uncultured bacterium
Lineage: Bacteria
Description: bacterial SSU rRNA
Rfam family: Bacterial small subunit ribosomal RNA
Source: RNAcentral
AGAGUUUGAUCCUGGCUCAGAAUGAACGCUGGCGGCGUGCUUAACACAUGCAAGUCGAACGGUAACAGAGAGUACUUGUACUCUGCUGACGAGUGGCGCACGGGUGAGUAAUAUAUAGGUAAUGUGCCCCUUGGACCGGGAUAGCCACUGGAAACGGUGAUUAAUACUGGAUACUCCUUUUAAUCAAAAGAUUAAUCGGGAAAUGGAUUCCGCCAAGGGAUCGGCCUAUAUCCUAUCAGGUAGUUGGUGAGGUAAGAGCUCACCAAGCCAAUGACGGGUAGCGGGUUUGAGAGGAUGAUCCGCCACACUGGUACUGAGACACGGACCAGACUCCUACGGGAGGCAGCAGUGAGGAAUAUUGCACAAUGGGGGCAACCCUGAUGCAGCAACGCCGCGUGGAGGAUGACGCAUUUCGGUGUGUAAACUCCUUUUAUAUGUCAAGAAAAUGACGGUAGCAUAUGAAUAAGCACCGGCUAACUCCGUGCCAGCAGCCGCGGUAAUACGGAGGGUGCAGGCGUUAUU